Molecule: long non-coding RNA, 709 nt
Filed under: Ananas comosus (pineapple)
Lineage: Eukaryota; Viridiplantae; Streptophyta; Magnoliopsida; Poales; Bromeliaceae
Description: long non-coding RNA (ACOM_LNC017617)
Source: RNAcentral
GCAGGAGAAAAAAAAUUUAGAAUGCAACAGUUAUUUUCUGAAAGUUUUAAAUACUCUAGAUCAUAUAUAUAGGCUAGAGCUAUUAUACUUUUAUAAGUAUAGAGCCCUUUAUAUUCAUGAGUUAUUUUCAAUGAUGAAGCUUCCGAAUCGACGAUCCACUCCAUUAAAUAUGAUCUAGAGUAUUUGAAACUUUCAGAAAAUAAAUUUCGUAAUUUUUUAAAAUCAUAAUAAAGUUCAUCAAGCGUGCGUAAAAUGAACAGUCAAAAUCGAACGACCUCCUAAAAAUAGAUGAUCGGAUCCUUCAAUUUAAAAUCGGAGUUAUUGAUCUUUAUCUAGAUAGUGAAUAGAAUUUUCUAUCAAAAAUUCAACCUAUUACAAUUCUUUUGCACCGUUAAACUAACAAGUAUCUCAUACCGGCCGUUAAAAAUUAUCGAUUUUGUGAGCUUUUGAUCGUAAUGUAAAUGAUGUCAAAAAAUUAUGAAAUUUAAUUUCUAGAAGUUUUAAAUACUCUAGAAAAUAUUUAACGGUAUGGAUCAUCGAUUCGGAAGCUUUAUCAUCGAAAACGACUUAUAAGUACGAAGUCGAUUAUACUCAUAUAAGAGUAUAGUAGCCUCACUCUAUAUAUAUAUAUAUAUAUAUAUAUAUAUAUCUAAUUCAUUCUAAAAUUAUUAAUUUUUAUACUUUUAAUAUAAGUUAUUUAGAUUUUUAU